Rosa chinensis is the source of this 1479-nucleotide RNA transcript. RefSeq lists it as uncharacterized. The transcript is spliced from 4 exons. The record is from RefSeq and is a predicted model, not a curated record. Lineage: Eukaryota; Viridiplantae; Streptophyta; Magnoliopsida; Rosales; Rosaceae.
CAACUUAAUCCCAUUCCAGAAGUACACUGGGAUCAAAUUGCCAAGCACCAAACAAUCUUGGUUUAACACAAGUCUGAACCUCAAGGAAUGUGAGAUGUUGUGUAUGAAGAACUGCUCCUGUACAGCUUAUGCAAAUUCUAAUAUCAGGGAAGGAAGAAGUGGGUGCUUGCUGUGGUUAGGUGAUCUGAUUGACUUAAGAAAUUUAGCUGAGAAAGAGAAUGGACAAGAUAUCCAUAUAAGAUUAGCUGCAUCAGAGCAAGAUAAUGAAGAGACUAGUACCAGAAUCAAUGCUAAACCUGCUAAAUCCAAUGUGAAGAAAGUGAGAAUCGUAGCUAGCACUCUUGUUUUAUCUACUGGGCGUAGCUCUGCUCUUUUAUGUUUGGAAGAAAGAUGCAGGAAAACUGAGCCGCGGCCACAAAGAAAAUCUGGAAUUACCAUUGUUUGACUUGGCUACUGUUGUUAAUGUAAUAAACUAGGAGAAGGUGGCUUCGGAUCUGUUUUUAAGGGUAUGAUGGAAGAUGGACAAGAAAUAACAGUGAAAAGGCUCGCAAGAGACUCUAUGCAAGGAAUUAAUGAGUUCAAAAAUGAGGUUGUAUGAUAGAUUCAUAAUUCCAUAUAUUUUUAUACCCUUAAAUGUAGGAUUCUAGGCUUAGUUCUUAUCAUUUUUGAGUCAUUUACUUUGUGUUUGUGUUUUGUAGGUUAAAUUGGAGAAAAGAAAGAUUUGGAGCUUAAAAUCAAACGCAGGAUUAAAAGGAUGCUGGCUAUCCUGAGUGUCCAGAAUUGUCUCUGCUUUGCGUCAACUUCACAGAUUAAACUGUACCUUCUCACAAGGAACUAGCAGGCGAGCCUUAUACCAUUGGAAAGAUACGGAUGUUAGCUUUCUGAGGAAUUUUAAGGAAGUGGAUUCACAUUCUUGUGGAGGAAGUUAUGAUGAUUUAAGUGAACCUAGUUCGGGAAGGCAGAUUCUGACGGAUUUUGCAUAUCUUUUGGGAAUCUAACUAGUGAGGCCCAAGUCCGUUGUUCUUAGCAGUUGAAUGAAACAAGGCUGAACGUGUUUGACAUAUUUGGAGUAAUUUCUUGCAUUGACUUUAAUAACACUGCGUUCCUUUGGAGAGAAGAAAGCUAUUCCAAGUUGGACUAGAAGACCGAAGAAGCCCAAGUCAAGUUGGAUUGGAAAGAGACAUAUUCGGCAGAAAACCUAGCAUGUUGAGACACAGAAAACACAGCAUAUUCGGCAGAGAACAAGGAGAAGAAAAAGCUCUCACCAUCGUUGGACCCGAGUUCCUCAAUUCUUCUAUUGUUUGUUUCAUGUUUUCUUUGAUUCUAGUCAUGUUUUUCAUGGUUAUGGACUGUUAAAUUUCUAGGCUAGGGCUGAGAUGAAGCCCCUAGUAUGACUAUUCUACUUAUUUAGUUGGUUUGCUAUUGAAUUUCUGGAUUUCUAUGUUAAACUCUUAAUCACCGUUUCAAUAGAACUUUUAU